Molecule: ribosomal RNA, 2424 nt
Filed under: Triticum aestivum (bread wheat)
Lineage: Eukaryota; Viridiplantae; Streptophyta; Magnoliopsida; Poales; Poaceae
Description: partial small subunit ribosomal RNA
Source: RNAcentral
AUGGACGCCAAUAAUCGACGAUCGUUCCUUAGGAAAGAAGCCAGCAACAAAGCAAUCAGGCAGCCGGCAUGGCUCAACAGAUGUGUGCCCCCCUGCGAGUUCUCGCACCCUGAACUAGCACCCUUAUGGUUGUGUGCAUCACGCGAGAUGCAGAGGCUGGGGGGAUCUAACAGGCUGAAAACAGAGCAAACUGGGCCUACAACAUGGAAUACCAACCGGCACCAUGCACGCGAGAUAGCUGCUGUCGUAGUUGGGCCGAAACCCAACCGAGAAAGAGCACUUAAUGUUGGACCACGGGAACUUUUGCUGCAGGCGUGGACGAGCACGCGCGCUCCUGGUAUCCCAAUCGUUCAAUGGUUCUGGGGAUGUGGGCCGUACGAGAUCCGGUCGUCCGUUGCUCGUCGCGGCCAGUUCGCCGGUGACCACCUCUACAAGUGUCGCAAUCAUAAUUGGUCAUGUGAAAUCCAUGGCAGCCGGGGCGUGGUGGAUGCGAUUUUUACCGGUGGCAGGAAGCCUAUGUGGAGCACCUGGCUUCGCUUGGUCCGGCGCCAGCUCCGCUGGCGCAAAUCAAUCCAGGGCAGCAGUAAUGUCGCAAGAACACCUUCAGAGAUGCAAUGCAAUCUGAACAUUGGUGACCGCCUAGCUAGAUUGAUAGAAGCACAUAGAGGGAAACAAAAAUGCACUCCACAUGCUGGAUCAGGCUCCAUGCCAAGCUCCUCUACAGGAUUGAACAUCACACAUCUCCAGAUGCAAAUGCCCACAGCGCAAACACUGGAGAUGAACUUUGCACAUUCACUUAUGCAGACUUCUGACCACGUGUAUCCAGACAAAUACAAAACUCCUGAUACCACACUGCCGGCGACACACUACUGUUGCAAGCAACCAAAUGCCCGUCCUCCACUAACAAUUCUACUCGUGCAGAACAGCUGGCAUCACCGAACUGCCCGCCAACGCCAUUCCAUGAUACAUUUCUACCGGUUCAGACAGAUCACAAGUUCCGUUGCUAUCAUACAAGCGUCGCCGAACAAAGGAUUGAACUGCGUCCCAUGGUGGGCAUCGCUCUUCAGUUCAGUGAUGCACUGGCAGCGGCAACCUCCUGCACCUCAGGGCGAGGGUCACCGCGCCUGCCCAUGCAGCCGUCAUGGCUUCGCGCUCUUCGAGGAGGGCCACGGGACCUUCUUCUUACAUCGUGGUAGUUGCCGUCUCUGCCGAGUUAGGGAAAGUUUGGCUUUGCCGCUCGACUCCAUCUUCAACCACGAGCACACGACUCCUUACUCGCCCGUCGCGUGUGCUAGGGUUCCUCACGUCGCCGUCACCGCCGCCGCUGCAUGGGUGUUCGUCAACUGGCCCUGCCUCCGGCCGCCGCUGCCCACCUCCAUCCUCUCCCCAACCCCGGGCGUCCUCCACUCCACUCCACUCCUCCGCGGGCCGGCCGAUUCCGGCGGCGCUAAGAACACUCCUCCCAUGCUCGCCUCGCGCUGCUGCGUCCACCCAUCGGGUUGGAUUCACCGCUCCUCGAUGGCAAGGGCUUCGGUCGCCUCCAACUCUGGCAACUCCGGCUUUGGUACGCACUUCGGAGGCUUGCGCCGCUCGGCGCGUCCCCCGCCCGCGUCUUUUCCUCCGGCCACACCUUCAGGAUUCGUGCCGCUCCAGCCCGAGGGCUUUGUAGGCUUGCUGUUGCCGCCGUCCUCUUCACCGUUUUUAGUGCAGACGCCCCCUAUUGAUUCCAUUUUCUCUGAUGCAUGGUGGUCGGCCGGUAGUCACCUCCACCUUCUGUCGCAGCGUAUCCAGAGACCUGGAUGCCCUGCAAGAUACACGAGGGGGGCGCUGCUGCUCUUCUCCUCUUUAAUUUCCUUCAACCCCGUCAAGGUCUGCUGCUUCGAAUUUGACGAGCAAUUUCGAGUCGUGGCUCUGGGGAACAAGUUGAGCAAGUGCAGCCAUCGUCGAGCUUCGUCACUUCACCAGCAACUCAGGUCCGUCCUCCUCCCACUCUAUUCAUCUUGUGUUGUGGAUACUCGAUGUUUCACGAUUUGUACUACAGAUUUCCUGUUGUUCGACGAACAUAAUGGAACAAGGCAGAUGAGUGAUCCUCUUUUCUUUCCCCCUCUACAAAAAAUCAGUUCCAAUUACCGUACAAUUUCCCCGGUAUGGCUUUCUGGAUUGGAACUUUCCACUCAUUUGUUAUUCUUUGGCCUACAUCUAGAGCCUGUAGGAUCGCGCCACUCAACCCCCGAGAGCGCCAAAGAGCCGCCUCUCAACACCUACAAGCCCAAGGGACCUUACAGAACCACCAUCGUCUCGGUAGAGCAGGCAGUAGGUCAUAACGCUCUGGGAGAGACGUGCCAUGUCAUCAUCGACCAUGCCGGCAAUGUGACAUACUGUGAGGGGCAGAGCUAUGAGAUUAUUCCUCGGGUAAUUGUCUAG